AAAACGACUCUCGGCAACGGAUAUCUCGGCUCUCGCAUCGAUGAAGAACGUAGCGAAAUGCGAUACUUGGUGUGAAUUGCAGAAUCCCGCGAACCAUCGAGUCUUUGAACGCAAGUUGCGCCCGAAGCCAUUCGGCCGAGGGCACGCCUGCCUGGGCGUCAC
Molecule: ribosomal RNA, 162 nt
Filed under: Peponidium sp. Gautier 4632
Lineage: Eukaryota; Viridiplantae; Streptophyta; Magnoliopsida; Gentianales; Rubiaceae
Also listed under: 1 other name
Description: 5.8S ribosomal RNA
Rfam family: 5.8S ribosomal RNA
About the family: 5.8S ribosomal RNA (5.8S rRNA) is a component of the large subunit of the eukaryotic ribosome. It is transcribed by RNA polymerase I as part of the 45S precursor that also contains 18S and 28S rRNA.
Source: RNAcentral